AUACGGAGGGUGCGAGCGUUAAUCGGAAUUACUGGGCGUAAAGCGCAUGCAGGUGGAUGAUUAAGUCAGAUGUGAAAGCCCGGGGCUCAACCUCGGAAUAGCAUUUGAAACUGGUCAUCUAGAGUACUGUAGAGGGGGGUAGAAUUUCAGGUGUAGCGGCGAAAUGCGUAGAGAUCUGAAGGAAUACCAGUGGCGAAGGCGGCCCCCUGGACAGAUACUGACACUCAGAUGCGAAAGCGUGGGGAGCAAACAGGAUUAGAUACCCUGGUAGUCCACGCCGUAAACGAUGUCUACUUGGAGGUUGUGGCCUUGAGCCGUGGCUUUCGGAGCUAACGCGUUAAGUAGACCACCUGGGGAGUACGGUCGCAAGAUUAAAACUCAAAUGAAUUGACGGGGGCCCGCACAAGCGGUGGAGCAUGUGGUUUAAUUCGAUGCAACGCGAAGAACCUUACCUACUCUUGACAUCCAGAGAAGCCAGCGGAGACGCAGGUGUGCCUUCGGGGCUC
This 506-nucleotide ribosomal RNA is filed under the name uncultured Vibrio sp. RNAcentral's name for it is "bacterial SSU rRNA". It matches the Rfam family "Bacterial small subunit ribosomal RNA", at positions 523 to 1029 of the family's 1533-position model. Lineage: Bacteria; Pseudomonadati; Pseudomonadota; Gammaproteobacteria; Vibrionales; Vibrionaceae. The record is from RNAcentral.